Molecule: long non-coding RNA, 19848 nt
Filed under: Medicago truncatula (barrel medic)
Lineage: Eukaryota; Viridiplantae; Streptophyta; Magnoliopsida; Fabales; Fabaceae
Description: long non-coding RNA (MTRU_LNC005847)
Source: RNAcentral
UACUACCUCCGUUCCUUUUUAAUUGUCACAUUUUAACAUUUUACACAAACCAAGACAAUCAAUAAAUGUUGCUACUUUUGAUACAAUAAUUUCUAUUUUUACUUUAAUAACCUUAUUUAUUUAAUAUCUCAUUACAUAUAUUUCUCUCUCCACAAUAAUAAAUAAGGGUAAUAUUAGUAAAGUAACAUUUAAUGUUGCAUUGAACUAUGUAAAGUGACACUUAAAUAGGAACAAAAAAAUUCUCCAAAAGAGACACUUAAAAAGGAACGGAGGGAGUAGUAAGUUUUUAAUGAAACGUUGUGCAUUGAAUGAAUGCAUUGGAAAUUAUAAUAGUUAACUUUUUAAAAAAAUAAUUACUAAAUAUGGGAUGCUUAAGAAUGACUUGAGGGCACUCGUUAACGAGACCCUUUAAAUAAACCAUCCAUUUUUUGACUUCAACUUGACAUCAUAUGCAAAUGCCAGGACAAUUCUUGGACUGUUUCCUCCUGCAUGAAAGUUUCCUGUUCGCAGCCAACGUUUUAGUGUCUAUGCGCUUUAAGUUGAGAUCCUGCUUGUUCAUCGUGUAAAACAAAGUUACUGAUUAUUACUCCUAUUAAACAAGAGAUGUGAUUUUCUAUAAGAUGGGAGACAGCAGCCAUACCUUAAAAUAUUUAUUUGCCCGUUCAUAAUCUUUCAAUUCCAUCAAGCACGAUGUAUUGCCCAGAUUACAAGAAAACCUCAAGCUAACAAUUUCCCUAUCCUCAUCGGGAAAGGAAGUUUCAUACUUUAUAAACUUCAGAGCCUGCAUUACGGUUUCAGUUUCAGAAAAGAUACCUGAUAGAACCCGCAGAAUGAACAAGGUAAUUUUGUAUAUUACUAUCAAAUGAUAAAUAUGAGUGUAGAGGCUCUACAAGGGUGGAAUAACAGAAUGAAAUAGAUAAACCAGAGUCAAAGACUCCUAAAGAGAGCACUAUGCUCCUAACUAGAGAAACUCUAGUAACCAACUCUAACAAUACUUCAGAAUGCCUUCUCCACUACCCAUCCCCUCUCUUUUAUCUCCCUACUCACAUGAGAUUGGUGCACAAGUCACUAACCUACGCGUGUCACGGUGUCCAACACUCGUACGACACUUGUCAGACAAGUGUACUAAAUAAAUAUUUUUCUCCUUUAUUUUGACACUCCUUGGACUGGUACCCAACACCUCUAUAAAACUUAUACUCCAUGAGGCAUGUCAGACAACUCAAACAAAUGUCUGAUUUUUUUUUUCUAUGCUUCCACACAUAGUAUAUUCAAGAGUUAAAGACGUGCGGAAAAUGUUGAUCAACGAAGGGCUAUAAAGUUGAAUACAACGUUUUUAAAUUUUUCGAUAGUAGAUGGAUAAAUAAAGGCCAAAUACUAUUGUAUCUUGUUAUAGACCUUUUUUUAAUGAAAUAAAUUGCUCAAGUAAGAUACAUACGUGAUUCUCAAUUUAGAUCUUUCAUAAAUAAAUUAGUAUACAAGUAGCAGUGUCGGUGUCCUAUGUUUUUUUUACAUUAGUGGUGUCAACGUGUCAGUGUCGGUGCUGUGUCAGAUGUCUGUGUCGGAGUCGCUAACUAACUUAUUAUCUCACUAGCCCUACCUUCCUUCCCCUCAUGCACUCCUAGAUGUUGGGCUUAUGCAGAUUUGUCCUAAUGCUUAGCUCACCAAUGGACCAUAGGCUUAAGUGACCUAUCGCAUUGUAGAUGGUGAAAUAUACUCCCUCCGGUCCUAUUUAUAAGAGAAUUUUGGGUCAACAAAAGUUGAUGUAUCUAGUUAAAAAUUCAGUCCAAAUACAUUCACUUUUGUUGACCUAAAUUUCUCUUAUAAAUAGGACCGGAGGUAGUAUUAAUGUAACCUUGUUAAUUACCUUCUGAAAUCUUUUAGAAGCUCUUGCAUAUUCAGCAGCAUAAACUAAUGCUAGGCCUUCUUGUCACUUCUCACGAGCAGCUUCUAUCUUCUCUUCAGUGUUCAUGUCCGAUACCUCCUUAGCCUAAAGCAAACAAUGAACCAAGGUAUAAAUGCAUAAAGAAAGUUGCAAUGGUAUCCAACCAUUAAUUAUUUGAGAGACAGAACUCAAUGAAAAAACACUUUUAUUUAUUUAUUGAAAAGUGUAAAGUGUAACACUGCUAACCAAUGCUACAUUAUUUCUAAGGAACCUUAACCAUAAGAGCCCCGUAAACACAGUUAAGCAUUUGGCUUUUUUUUUUUUUUGGGGCUGGAGUUCAAACCCCGGUCACGGCGUCCAGCCUAGCAAUUUGGACAUUCUUGCUAGACCAGGAUGAUGGCAACCAAACAACAAUCAUAUUUAUGUCAAGAAAUUCAAUUUAGGUUUGACAAUAGAUACUGAUUAUAAAUAAUGAACAAAGAAAUGAAAAACGGUACAAAAAUGACAAGAAAAAAAUACCAGACUUGGCAAUUGAAGUAAGUAGAAUAAAACUAAAAGGCAGAUCUCUGCUUUGUUAAACACCGGCUGCUAGUGUUCCUUUUCAAUAAUAGAAUUUUAAAAAACAGCAAUGAAAUAUGUCACAAUGCACAAUUGCUAAUUAUCAUCAAGUUAUUUAUUUACCUUUACGAACGAUACUAGCUCAACCUCAUAAUACGGUUGAAUUAGGAGGAACCACUGCCAAUUCCUGCUGAGACUCUGAUGAACCAAAAGCAUAUUCAGGCGUAAUAGUCAACAAAGCUACCUCACCCUUCUUCAUGGUCAGUACAGCUUUAUCAAGCCCAUCAAUCACUUGCUCUGCUCAAUACAAAAAGCAUUCACUUUAUUUGAUUUAAAAACAAAUGAUGGUGAGAGGGUGAAACAUUGGGAAAAUUAAAAUUACCCUCGUCUGUUUUAAAUUCAAACAGAUCCGCUUCAUCAUCAUCACCAUCAUUAUAUCCCUUGUUCAAAAAUACAGUGCCAUCUUGCAGCUUACCAAUUAGUUUUACUACAAAAAUGCAAAAUGAGGAGAUAACACAUCAGAACCGAUGCACUAAAUCCAUUAAAAAAGAGAGCCAUCAUAUCAUAAUAUAUUAGCAAUCAAUCAAUGAUGAAUGAUGAUUUACAUUUCACAAGAGCUCCCUCAUUUGGACGGUACGUCAGCUCCUUCUCCUUCCUUGAGAAGCUGCUUAUGAAAAGUUGCUUUGUUCCAAGAAACUAACCUGAGAGUGAUCUGCAAUGUUGCGUUAGGUGGAACUGAAGCUUCAUCAUGGUGAGCUGGCCUGCCCUUGUCACCAAAUCCAUCUAUAACAGAAUACGAGGAUUUCUAGUUAUGUUCCGUUCUCAAAGAGUAGUGAUGCUUGUUUUGCAAAACUUGUUUAGUUAAUUUCUAGACUACUUACAUUGUGGCUUAACAGUUAAAAUGACUUUUUCUCCGAUCUUCAUGGUCCUAACAGCGAUUGACAAUGCAGGACAAAAAUGACCUAUGAGAUGGCGUAAAAGAAUGUAAGAUCGACCCGGAAAAGGAAAAUACAAGAGAGUAGUAUGUAUAAUAAAACUUGUAGGCAGUGACUGAACGACUAACUGACCAUUGUUGAGUUUGAACUCCACUCCAUCAUCAUCAGAUUUUCUAACAAGAGUUCCAUCAUCAAGACGUGCUUCGUACUUAACUGCAAAGCAAUAACACCAAUUAAGAUCCAGAAAAUGAGAAAAUAAAAAAUGAAAUAUGAUCAUGAAUGUAUAUAUUUAUACCUAAAACAUAAUCAUAAUCAUCAACAUGUUGAUAUUUGUCAUCCCUGGGCUUGAGUAUCUUCUUUACCAAACCUCCAUCCUUACAAAUAUCCUCCGGAUUAGUAUAUUUAACUUUCUUCUUGUAUUUGCUGAGUGGAAUGAUAUAUCUAGCUGGCCAAAUGAAUGGUAACAAUAUCAAUCAAUUCAAUAAAUUGAAUGGCACAAGAAAAUAAAAACCUUCAUCUAAUUAAUUGUAUUUGAGAAUAGUAUUACCAUCAUAUUCAUCAGCAGUAGGAGCAGCAGCUUUCUUCUUGUAUUGAAUCAAAUCCCAUUGUGUGAUGUGUGUCCGUAUAAAUUCAAUAAAUUAAAUGAUUUAAAUCAAUUUAAAAUAAUACAAAAUAAACAAAAACCAACCAAUCAUAACGUUUGUUUAAUAAACUCACUCACUUUUUCCAUACGUAAGUUCAUCAAAUUGAUUGUUAGCGCCGCCGCUAGUCAUUUCCAAAUCAAUCUUCUUUUACCAAAUUCUGGAAUAUAUAUUACAUGAGGUGUUAUGAUGUGAUACUGGAUACUUUCAAUAAAACAAAACAAGGAAUUAACAUGUUCAAUCAAAUUCGACUCUAAUUAUUCAUACUUGUCUUAAACAUAUAAGUACAAGGUACAUAACCAGAAUACAACAUAGUUCUUCACAAUGGAUAAUCAAAACACAUGUCUUAAUCAUUAAGGACAUAAUAUGAUUAUGAUAUAUAGGGAGCUACAUGAUAACUCAUAUCAGUCAACAUGAAAUUUCAUGAGAUAAAACAUAAGACACAACUAAGCUUCAAGUAAAUGGCCUUCUCCUUCCCUUUUGAUACUUGCAGUUCAUAUGAAAUAAAACGUAAAACUAUUGGGAUAAAAUUACAUCUCAGUAAAUUCCUUACUAAAACCCAAAUCAGUCUAAUUCCUGACUAACUACAUUGUAGUCUUCACUAACACAAUUAAUCAAUAUGUAUUCAAGUGAUAUAUGAAAAUUGUAAAUGUGUAUCAUAGAAUAUAUAAUCUUGUCAAUUUUAACUCCGGAUACCCUAAGAGCGAAUAAUCACAGGGUCCCCGCCAACCGGGUGGAAUCAAACCCUUUAUGGUGUAUUUCCCUCACAAUUAUUAUUAAUCAUAGAAGAUAAACUUUCUUGAUUAAUAUAAACACUUCUCAUUAUUCAAAUUCUAGCAUAUUUGUAUAACUUACUACGUACCUUGAUUUACUUUCAAGUAGUCAUAUCUAGUUCAUAUUAGAAUUUCGACGUACCUGCUUAAGUUUUCUACUCAUUGUAGUUACUUACCUAAUCCCUAAGUCUCUAAACUUAUCAUAACAAAGUUUCUACUAAUAAACUAAGAAUUUCCUUUAUACUCAUACACUUUAUACAGGGAAUCAAGCUUAUUGAUAUGAUGAAACCCUAAAUAUUCAUAAAUCAUUAUUAGGAGGUUUGAAAUUUAUCUACAUUCCAAAUAAGUGACAUGUCAUUCAUUUAAUACUCAUAUUCAUUUAAACCCUAAUACCCAGUUCAAAUUUAAGGAACUUACUUGAUAUUGAAGAAGAUGAAUGAAUAUGAGAAAACCCAAGUAUUUGAUUAUAGGUUUCAAAACCCUUGAUUUCACAAUUUCCUCCUUUUCUUCUUACUAAAAAGAGCAGAGAGAGGGGUUGAAAAAGGAGAGAAAGGAGGGAAUUCUGAAAACAUAGGUUUCUUUCUACGGAAUUUAUUCAGUGACUUAAUAUCGGCAGUGACGGAGUCAGGAAAAAAAAGCUUGGGUCGGCCAUAAAUAUUGAUGGAGCUUGAUUUUCUUAUAACUAUAUUUUAUCAUUUUUUUUAAAGGAACUAUAUUUUAUCAUUGGUUAGUUUGAAUAACUAUAGACUUGUUAUUUGUUGAAUAUAGUUCAAGCUAGCAUUUUAAAAUCUGAGUCGAUUAUCAAUCCAGACAAAAUACAAGAUAAUUGAUCGAACAACUAGGUCAUCGAUUGAACCUCACGACUGAAUUGAAUAACUCGCCUUCAUAAACAGACGACUAGUAUUAAAUCAAAUUGAAUCAAACGACUGAGUCAAAAAAAAGUUAAAAUAAAACUCAUGGCAUAUAGUGAUGUAAAAAAUAACAUUACAUAAGAAAGUAUACUUAUAAUCAAGUACAAUAAUGAAAUAUAUAUUUAAUUUAAUGAAGAAUAUAGUUUUUUUUUACCUAAAAAAUAGUGUUUAUACAAUUAAAUAUUUUUAUGAUAUCAUAUUUUUUUAAGGGUAUUUUAAUGUUUAUGUUAUAUGUUAUAAAAGUUAGUUGAGGUCCUCUUUUGAAUAAAAAAUAUGCUAUAUGUUUUAAAAAAGAUUUUUUUUAAAUAGAAUAAAGGAGUUAUGUUUUAUCAACAAUUAUGAAUUUUAAGUUUAGACUUUGCAUUCCCUAAAAAAAAAAAAAAAUUUAGACUUUGCAAUUUGGUUUGGGCAGGAGUUGAACCAAGCACAAAAAGCUUGCCAAAAGGGGGACCAAGUGAAAUAUUCCUUUUUGAAGGAAGAAAGUGAAAUAUUAAAAACAUAACAAAUCUUAUUUCAAUUAUUAUUAUUAUUUUUUAAAAAGUAACAAAUCUUUUUUUAAAAGAAACAAAUUUUUUCACGCUUAUAAAUAACAACAAAUCCUAUUUCUCAAUAAAUUGAUCACACAAGUUUCUAUUUUCAACUAAGUUUCUUCUUCUUUCGAUUCUGAACUCUUAAACCCUCAAAAUCCAAAACCACCGUUUCGCACAACCAUCGCCACCGUGAACCACCUUCAACCCAAAUUCCUAAUCGUUUCGAAGAACAAUCGCCACCGUCAACCCAAAACGCUUCGAACAACCACCGUCAUGUCGAACAACAACCACCAUGUUUCACCACCGGGAACCACCAUCCCUCACUUUCCUCCGCCACCGUCCGAUUCAGAAUCACUUCUCGACGAGAGAGCUAGAAAAUGGAAGAAACUGAACUCAAAUCGUUACUGCGAUAGUCGAAAGUUAGGGUUCAUCGAAUCUCAGAAAGAACUCAUGCCACCGGAACACGUUCGAAAAAUCAUCCGCGAUCACGGUGAUAUGUCAUCAACGAAAUUCCGUCACGAUAAGCGAGUUUAUCUCGGAGCACUGAAAUUCGUACCGCAUGCUAUUUAUAAGCUUCUGGAAAAUAUGCCAAUGCCAUGGGAGCAAGUUCGAGAUGUUAAAGUUCUGUAUCAUGUUUCUGGUGCUAUUACAUUUGUGAAUGAAAUUCCGCUUGUUAUUGAACCAAUUUACAUCGCUCAAUGGAGUACAAUGUGGAUUAUGAUGCGGAGAGAGAAGCGUGAUCGACGAUGUUUUAAGAGGAUGAGGUUCCCACCGUUUGAUGAUGAGGAGCCUGUGAUUGAUUAUGCUGAUAAUCUGUUGGAAGUUGAACCGCUCGAAGCAAUUCACCUUGAGUUAGAUGAAGAGGAGGAUGGUCCUGUGUUUGAUUGGUUUUAUGAUCAUAAGCCACUCGUGAAAACUAAAUUUGUUAAUGGGCUGAGUUAUCGAAAAUGGUGUCUUCCGAUUCCGGUGAUGGAAACUUUGCAUAGGCUUGCUGGGCAGCUUUUGUCUGAUUUGUGUGAUAGGAAUUAUUUCUAUUUGUUUGAUGUGGAGUCCUUUUUUACAGCUAAGGCUUUGAAUAUGUGUAUACCUGGUGGGCCGAAGUUUGAGCCUCUGUAUCGUGACGCGGAGAAAGGAGAUGAAGAUUGGAAUGAGUUUAAUGACAUUCACAAACUUAUUAUAAGGUCAAAACUUAGGACUGAGUAUAGGAUUGCUUUUCCGCAUCUUUAUAACGAUAGGCCGAGGAAAGUAAGGCUUGGUGUUUACCAUACUCCCAUGGUUGUGUAUGUGAAGGCUGAUGAUCCUGAUUUACCUGCAUUUUAUUAUGAUCCCUUGAUACACCCGAUAGCUGGUGCUGGUAACAAAGAGCGGUGCGAGAUGGAAAUCUGCAAUGAGGAUGAUGAUGACUGGAUUUUGCCUGAUGGUGUGGAACCUUUUCUCAAAGAUGUGGAGCUUUAUACCGACACUACCACUGAUGGAAUGUCAUUGCUUUUUGCUCCCCGUCCUUUUAACAUGAGAUCGGGCCGAAUGAGGCGUGCAGAAGACAUUCCUCUUGUGUCAGAAUGGUACAAGGAGCAUUGUCCUCCAUCGUAUCCGGUUAAAGUGAGGGUUAGUUAUCAAAAGUUGCUCAAGUGUUUUGUGUUGAAUGAACUGCAUCAUAGACCUCCUAAGCCUCAACAAAAGAAGAACUUAUUCAGAUCACUUCAAGCGACAAAGUUUUUCCAGACCACAGAACUUGAUUGGGUUGAAGCAGGUCUUCAAGUUUGUAAGCAGGGGUACAACAUGUUGAAUCUGUUGAUACACAGGAAAAAUUUGAACUACCUUCACCUUGAUUAUAAUUUUAAUUUGAAGCCUGUCAAAACCUUGACUACAAAAGAGCGUAAGAAAUCACGAUUUGGUAAUGCUUUUCAUCUCUGUCGUGAGAUCCUUCGUUUGACGAAACUUGUGGUGGAUGCCAAUGUUCAGUAUCGCUUGGGUAAUGUUGAUGCUUUUCAGCUGGCGGAUGGCCUCCAAUAUACUUUCUCUCAUGUUGGUCAAUUGACCGGUAUGUAUCGAUACAAGUAUAGGCUUUUGCGACAAAUAAGAAUGUGCAAAGACUUGAAACACUUGAUUUACUACCGUUUUAACACUGGCCCUGUCGGGAAGGGACCCGGUUGUGGGUUUUGGGCACCGAUGUGGAGGGUUUGGUUAUUCUUUCUUCGUGGUAUUGUGCCCCUUCUUGAACGAUGGCUUGGAAAUUUACUGGCACGACAGUUUGAGGGACGCCACUCUAAAGGAGUGGCGAAGACCGUAACUAAGCAACGUGUUGAAAGCCAUUUUGACUUGGAGCUUCGGGCAGCUGUUAUUCACGAUGUGGUUGAUGCCAUCCCGGAGGGUAUGAAGGAGACCAAGUCAAGAGUUAUAUUGCAGCAUUUGAGUGAAGCAUGGCGAUGCUGGAAGGCAAAUAUUCCUUGGAAGGUCCCUGGUAUGGCUGUUCCAAUAGAGAAUAUGAUCCUUCGAUAUGUGAAAUCAAAAGCAGAUUGGUGGACAAAUGUCACCCAUUAUAAUCGUGAGCGUAUAAGAAGAGGAGCAACUGUUGAUAAGACUGUUUGUCGCAAGAAUCUUGGAAGAAUGACUCGUCUUUGGCUGAUGGCAGAGCAGGAGCGCCAAUGCAAUUAUUCAAAAGAUGGCCCAUAUGUUACUCCUGAAGACGGUGUUACUAUUUAUACAACUAUAGUCCAUUGGUUAGAAUCUCGGAAGUUCUCCCAUAUUCCAUUUCCACCUCUAUCAUACAAGCAUGAUACAAAGCUGCUUAUCCUUGCACUUGAGAGGUUGAAGGAAUCCUACAGUGGUUCAGCAAGAUUAAAUCAAUUUCAAAGAGAAGAGUUGGGGCUGAUUGAACAAGCUUAUGACAAUCCACACGAGGCAUUAUCACGAAUCAAACGACACCUCCUCACCCAACGUGCAUUCAAAGAAGUUGGAAUAGAGUUUAUGGAUUUAUAUGGUUACUUGAUUCCGGUUUACGAAAUAGAGCCUCUGGAGAAAAUUACAGAUGCAUAUCUUGAUCAAUAUCUGUGGUAUGAAGGGGACAAACGUCAUCUAUUUCCUAACUGGAUCAAGCCAGCAGAUUCAGAGCCACCACCUCUUUUAGUUUACAAAUGGUGUCAAGGUAUAAAUAAUUUGGAAGGCAUCUGGGACACCAGUGAUGGUCACUGCGUUGUGAUGUUGCAGACCAAAUUUGAGAAGUUUUUCGAGAAGAUUGAUAUACUAAUGUUAAAUAGGCUUCUCCGUUUGGUUCUAGACCACAACAUUGCUGAUUAUAUCACUGCAAAAAACAAUGUUGUGUUGUCAUACAAGGAUAUGAGCCACACGAAUAAAUAUGGUCUUAUACGUGGACUACAGUUUGCCUCCUUUGUUGCUCAGUAUUAUGGCCUGAUAUUGGAUCUCUUGCUUCUUGGAUUGACUCGAGCGAGAGAGAUUGCUGGUCCGCCGCAGAUGCCUAACGAGUUCAUUACUUAUUGGGACACUAAAGUUGAGACCAGGCAUCCAAUUAGGCUGCAUUCCCGGUACAUAGAUAAAGUUUAUAUGUUAUUUCGUUUCACACAUGAGGAGGCUCGGGAUCUCAUUCAGAAAUAUCUCACUGAACACCCUGAUCCUAACAAUGAGAACAUGGUGGGGUACAAUAAUAAGAAGUGCUGGCCAAGAGAUGCAAGAAUGAGGCUCAUGAAGCAUGAUGUCAAUCUUGGGAGGAGUGUCUUUUGGGAUAUGAAAAACCGUCUUCCUCGAAGCAUCACAACACUGGAAUGGGAAAACAGCUUCGUUUCUGUUUACAGCAAAGAUAAUCCAAACUUGCUUUUUAGCAUGUGUGGAUUUGAAGUGCGGAUACUUCCUAAAAUUAGAACGACUCAAGAAGCAUUCGGUAACACAAGAGAUGGUGUUUGGAAUCUCCAGAAUGAACAAACCAAAGAAAGGACAGCUACUGCUUUCUUAAGAGUUGAUGAUGAACAGAUUAAAAUGUUUGAGAAUCGUGUGAGGCAGAUUCUUAUGUCUUCGGGUUCUACUACAUUCACAAAAAUUGUCAAUAAGUGGAAUACAGCUUUAAUAGGACUCAUGACUUACUUCCGAGAGGCAACUGUACAUACUCAAGAGUUGUUGGAUUUGCUUGUCAAAUGUGAAAAUAAAAUUCAGACCCGUAUCAAGAUAGGACUCAACUCAAAGAUGCCUAGCAGAUUUCCGCCUGUCAUUUUCUACUCGCCCAAGGAAGUUGGAGGACUUGGGAUGUUGUCUAUGGGUCACAUUUUGAUUCCACAAAGUGAUAUACGUCACAAUCAGAAGACAGAUGUUGGUGUAACCCACUUCAGAAGUGGGAUGAGUCAUGAGGAGGGUCAGUUGAUUCCCAGCCUUCAUCGUUAUAUACAGCCCUGGGAAAGGGAGUUCAAUGAUUCACAACGUGUCUGGGCUGAAUAUGCAGUGAAAAGGCAGGUAGCACAAGCACAGAAUAGGCGCUUGACCCUUGAGGAUUUGGAAGACUCAUGGGACCAAGGGAUUCCACGUAUUAACACUUUGUUUCAGAAGGAUAGACACACUUUGGCUUAUGAUAAAGGAUGGAGGGUACGUUUAGACUUCAAGCAGUAUCAAGUUUUAAAACAAAAUCCCUUCUGGUGGACACACCAGAGGCAUGAUGGGAAGUUGUGGAACUUGAAUAAUUACCGAACUGAUGUUAUUCAAGCUCUUGGAGGAAUUGAACAAAUUCUUGAACACACUUUAUUCAAAGGAACAUAUUUUCCAACUUGGGAAGGUCUCUUCUGGGAAAAAGCAUCAGGUUUUGAGGAAUCUAUGAAGUAUAAGAAGCUCACCAAUGCACAAAGAUCUGGUCUCAACCAGAUACCCAACCGUAGAUUUACGCUUUGGUGGUCACCAACCAUUAACCGAGCCAAUGUUUAUGUUGGUUUCCAGGUGCAGCUAGAUCUGACUGGUAUUUUCAUGCAUGGGAAAAUUCCAACUUUGAAGAUAUCUCUUAUUCAGAUAUUCAGAGCUCACUUGUGGCAGAAGAUCCAUGAGAGUGUUGUCAUGGAUCUUUGUCAGGUAUUGGAUCAAGAGUUGGACGCUUUGGAGAUUGAAACUGUCCAGAAGGAAACAAUCCAUCCUAGGAAGAGUUACAAAAUGAACAGUUCUUGUGCAGACAUCCUUCUCUUUGCUGCCCACAAAUGGCCAAUGUCAAAGCCUAGUCUUGUAGCUGAAUCUAAGGAUGUUUUUGAUCAGAAGGCAAGCAAUAAGUAUUGGAUUGAUGUUCAGCUUCGAUGGGGUGAUUAUGAUUCUCACGAUAUUGAGCGUUACACCAGGGCUAAAUUUAUGGAUUACACAACAGAUAAUAUGUCUAUAUACCCAUCUCCUACUGGGGUUAUGAUUGGCCUUGAUUUGGCAUAUAACUUGCAUUCUGCAUUUGGGAACUGGUUCCCUGGAUCAAAGCCACUACUUCAGCAGGCCAUGAAUAAGAUUAUGAAGUUAAAUCCUGCAUUGUAUGUUUUGAGGGAACGAAUCAGGAAAGGUCUGCAGUUGUACUCUUCUGAGCCCACUGAACCAUAUUUGUCUUCCCAAAAUUAUGGAGAGAUAUUCAACAACCAAAUCAAAUGGUUUGUUGAUGACACUAAUGUGUAUCGCGUUACAAUUCAUAAGACUUUUGAAGGAAAUCUUACAACAAAACCCAUCAAUGGUGCCAUUUUUAUCUUCAAUCCAAGGACUGGGCAGUUGUUUCUUAAGGUUAUCCAUACGAGUGUAUGGGCCGGUCAGAAGCGUCUCGGCCAACUGGCGAAGUGGAAAACAGCAGAAGAAGUUGCUGCUCUUGUAAGGUCUUUGCCUGUAGAAGAAGAGCCAAAGCAAAUUAUUGUUACCCGUAAAGGAAUGUUGGACCCGUUGGAGGUUCACUUGUUGGAUUUCCCCAAUAUUGUUAUCAAAGGAAGUGAGCUGCAACUUCCUUUCCAAGCAUGCUUGAAAAUUGAGAAAUUUGGGGAUCUUAUUUUGAAGGCCACAGAACCACAAAUGGUUUUGUUCAACAUUUACGACGACUGGCUGAAGAGCAUUUCCUCAUACACUGCAUUCUCCAGGCUGAUUCUUAUUCUGCGUGCACUUCAUGUGAAUAAUGAAAAGGCAAAGAUGUUACUGAGGCCUGACAUAACUGCUGUCACUGAACCUCAUCACAUCUGGCCUUCUCUAAGUGAUGACCAGUGGAUGAAGGUGGAGGUUGCAUUAAGAGAUCUUAUACUUUCUGAUUAUGCAAAGAAAAACAAUGUGAAUACUUCAGCUUUGACCCAGUCUGAGAUUCGUGAUAUUAUACUUGGAGCUGAGAUUACUCCCCCUUCACAACAGCGGCAACAGAUUGCAGAGAUUGAAAAACAGGCACGCGAAGCAAAUCAGGUGACAGCUGUAACAACACAGACUACAAAUGUUCACGGUGAAGGACUGAUUGUAACCACCACUAGUCCCUAUGAGCAAGCUGCUUUUGGUUCGAAGACUGAUUGGCGUGUCAGAGCAAUAUCAGCCACAAAUUUAUACCUUCGAGUAAACCAUAUAUAUGUGAAUUCGGAGGACAUAAAGGUUUCUUCAUUUCUUUAAAUCUUGUUAAUUGUUUUUAUACUCAUUAAGUCACAACUCCUAUCAUGUUUUAACUUUGAAUUUUGCGGUGCAGGAAACGGGCUAUACUUAUAUCAUGCCAAAGAACAUUUUGAAAAAGUUUAUAUGCAUAGCAGAUCUUCGAACACAGAUUUCUGGGUAUUUGUAUGGUAUAAGUCCUCCUGACAAUCCUCAGGUUAAGGAAAUCCGGUGCAUUGUGAUGCCACCACAGUGGGGGACUCAUCAACAUGUCCAUCUCCCAUCAGAUCUGCCAGAACAUGAUUUCUUGAAUGAUUUGGAGCCUUUGGGAUGGAUGCAUACUCAACCAAAUGAAGUUCCGCAGUUGUCGCCUCAGGUUGGAUUACUUUAGUUUCAAUUGCAACUUUUUUUUUUGUUGCCUUUUUUCAAGGAAAUAUAUUAAUGAAUAGUGGUAACAUUGUCUAACCUGAGAAAUUAUCAUUGCAGGAUCUCACUUCACAUGCUAAGGUCCUAGAGAACAAUAAACAAUGGGAUGGGGAGAAGUGUAUUAUCUUGACUUGCAGUUUUACUCCGGGUUCUUGUUCUUUAACUGCAUAUAAACUAACUCCAUCUGGUUAUGAAUGGGGACGUAUUAACAAGGAUACAGGAAGCAACCCACAUGGUUAUCUUCCCACUCAUUAUGAGAAGGUUCAGAUGCUCCUCAGUGAUCGCUUCAUUGGUUUCUACAUGGUAAGCUUUACUGCUUCCUGAAGUUUUCCUACUAUUAUUUCUUCGCAUAUUUUUUAUUUUAUGUUUUAUUUCUUCGCAUAUGAUUGAAUGACAGAAAUAUAAUUAUAUUAAAUUUAUCGUAUUAUCAAGUAAUGGUUAUAUUUCUUAAUGCAAUUACAGUCUUGUUAUUAUUGUCAUUAUUAUUUUACUGAAUGUUUAAAAUUUUUUUUUUUUUUUUUUUUGUCACAAUUUCCUAGAUUCCUGAUAAUGGUCCAUGGAAUUACAACUUUAUGGGAGUGAGGCACGCAUCAGGCAUGAAGUAUGGAGUGAAGCUUGGGACCCCUAGGGAGUAUUACCAUGAAGAUCAUAGGCCAACCCAUUUCUUAGAGUUCAGCAAUAUGGAGGAAGGGGAGACAAUCGCCAAGGGAGAUCGAGAGGAUACAUUCUCUUAGAGUGUGUUUGAGUUGGAGAUUGUAAAAAGGUAAAAUACUUUUGAGGGAUUUAAAAUGAUUUGUCUUAGUUGUAGCACUAUUUCUUCAAACACUAUCAAGUGGUAUGUUGUAGCAUUGCUAUAUUGAACACUGUUCUGGAAAUUUCAACAUGUUCUAUAAUUUCUUUUUGAAUUUUUGUUGGUUGAUUCUGUUUGUGCUGAGAUCAAAGCCUUGAAGCUUUAUUAACUACUUAGUGAAAGUCAUUGAUGAGGUUACCUCUAAUUUCUCAAUUACUGGUAUUUUUGUGUAUUGGUUUUGUGCUCUGAUAUUUAGUAGGUGAAAUUGCCACUGCUUAUAUUCAGUUUCGAAGAUUGAUUGAUAAACUCAGUCAAACAUAGCUCUACUAAGUAAAUAAGAAAUCUAAUGGAAGUUAUAAUUUUCAUUUUCUCUUCAAGUGCCUGUGUGUGAAGUUUCAGCUGUAGAACAAGUUAGAAAAAACACUUACAAGGAGUACUUUUUGAAUCAAAACAUUGUAUUUCUAGCCUUAAAACCUGUUAAACUUGCUUGCAAAGUCUUCGUAUGCUUGCUGGAAUAGAAUACCUUGAUAUAUGUUAACUAGCUAUAUGUUUUUUUAGACUCUUUUUUAGUAAGUUUUAUUCACAUAUAUGUAAAUCAAAGUUUAUCUGGUUUAUCUAGCGGUUCUUAUCCAAACACCAAAUUGAUAGGGGGUUGCAAAUUACUAUUUUUCCAGUUUUCUUGUUAAAACCUAUACAUAGUUUCUUCCUUUUGUUUGUUUUAUAGAUCCACUUAAAUGAAUUCUAUCUUGGGUUAUUGACUCCACUCAUGUACAUGUUUUGAGAGUUUGAACCUCAGUCCCCAUAACUCAUUUUCAACAAUUUUAAAUUUGAUAUUCAAUUAUCUGCACAAGUCAAAAUCUUUAUCUCUUGUGGGUUUUCAAUUUCUCACUUGUUUUUGUUUCCAUGACUUACUGAAUGUAGUAGUCCUUAUUUGUAGUAUAUAGUUUCCUUGUUUAUUAGUUGUGACAAGAUAUAAGCAUAUGGAGCUAUAUUGUCUGGUCAAAGCUAGGCAGUGAUAAAGUUGUGCUUCUUGACAACUAAUGGCAGGUUGGGUGGGAUGAUAAAAUCGUCCUCCCAAAUUAUCAGUUGCUUCUGCCCAUUGGUUUAGAACCCAAUGUUGCAAAAGUUAGACUCAACAGUAAAGGGAAACUUGGAAGAAAUGUAUGCUUAUGCAUUAGUAUUGUUUCCUUUAUUGCUGAGAUUUGAUUAUAUGUAACAAAUUCUGCAUGAAUAUCAGUUAUAAUUGAAUUUGAUAUCUGACUAGAUGCUAGGAUAAUAGCUAAGUUUUUUUUUUUGUUUUUGAAAAAGGAUAAUAACCAAGUUAUAAUUACUCAAGUUCUUUCAUAGUCAAUGCAUCAACUGCUUAAGUAUAUGAUGAUAGUUAUGGGCAAUAGUUAGAUUAGGUUAGUUAUGGGAAAUAGUUAGAUUAACACGGAGAACUUCAUUGUCACCAAGUAAAUUAUAUUUGUAUGGAAACUAUAUAUAUUCAUAGUCUACCAAUCUAAAAUAAUGGUAUGGAAUAGUUAGUGGCAUGUGAAACAUAGAAACAUAGGGUAUUUUGUUUGAUAUUGUUGACGAAGAUGAAGGUAGUGGCAUGUGAAACAUGUGACCGUUACCUUCCUCUCCAGUGUCUCCAAGGAACAUUUUGUUUCCAUGAUCAUACUCCAUGAUAAUAAUUAUUACAGCCAGUAAUUUAUUCAGCUAAAUAUGCCUUUGUUGUUGAAUAUGUCAAGCUUGUUUAAUUUUUGUUGUUGGUGAUUUAUUGAAUGAAUCGGUCUAGCUAGAAGUUAGGACUGCCUUUUCUGUUUUUUUUUUUUUUUACAAGUCCAUGGUUUCAGCCUUUGUUAUAACUUAGAAGAAGCCUUUCACCCAUGGUUCAGAUUUAUUCAGACUGGUUUCAAUGGUUUAGAAUUGUGCAGUAUCUGUGUAGAGAUUCCUUUAUUUUGGUUAACAAAUCUGGAUAUAGGUUGUCGAUUGUGUUACUUACACUCCUCACUUGGAUAGUAGGUAUGUAUGUAUGUAUCUAUUUUUUGUAUACAUUUGGAUUCUUGUUGCGCAUAAAAUAACAUUUUCAAUUUCUAAUAUUUUAGCAUGGUUGGGAUGAUUGUUUUGGAGAUUGAUUCAUCUAGUUAGCGACUAACUGGUUUUGUAUAUCUCUGUAACGUAGUGGUGAAGAUGUUUGAUUACGGCUGGAUCCUUGUGGAGCUGGGACAGUCUAUAUUAGAUUAACUUUCAGUGGGGCGUUGGAUUUGGCGGCUGUUUUUGGUAACAAUGAGCUAGAAUUAUCACACACUGUUAUUUUGUUUGUACUAAAUUUACAGGUUUUGCUCAGCUAGAACUUGAAUUACAUAGUCACUGCACAUUGAGAAUGUCUCAACUAUUGUUACACUGAACUGUUAGCAAUACUUGUUGGCAAAUGGUUAGAGAAAUAAAUUUCUGUGUUAGUUUUGUUUUUUAAGUAAUCAAUGUACAACUCCUCCAAAAGUAAUCAUGUACAAUGAAUUUUUGAAUUCUUUAUUUCGCAUGAAUGGUCUCUAUUCCACUAAGCAGGAAUGACAGAACUCACAAGUGCUAAGGAUUUGAGUGCUAAACUCACCUUUCAUAUAGGAUCACGAUUCAUAUUUCUACACGGUACCAAAGGAUCAUAAUUUAACCAAUGAAUCUGUUUUUUUUGCAUAAACAAAUUUAAAGAUAAUUUUUUCACAUUUAGUUGAGGAUAAUAGAUAAUUGCAAAAAAUCAGUAAAAAAGCUUAAAAUGAACGAAAGAAUCACUUUUUAUUGUAAUUUUUACUUCCCAGAAACUCUAAUAAAAACAUUUGAGGAUAAGUAUUGAUAUUUGCGAGUGAGCUUGGUCUUGCUAAUUUCAUCCCUGAAAAUUGAUUCAAACUAUAUGCUCUUUUUAUUCAACAACGCAUCAUUAUUGCCAUCAUUUGGCAUUUGGGUUGUUGAGAGAGUCACAUCUUAAUUAGUAUGCAAACAAAUGUUAACAGAGACUAAUAACAUAAAAUAAUAUAUGUGGAGACUAAAAUCAUAUUUAAAACUUUUUUCUAUUACAUUUCUCACGUAGUUAUCAUUUACACCACAUAUCAUUCAAUCAGUACAUAUAACUCAAUAUCAUGGAGAAUCUAAAUCCUUAAUUUUCCUUUUCAAUUUUAUUUAGAAUCACUACUCAAGGACAUAAAUAUCAUUGUCUUGGUGUGGAUUCUUCCCUUUUCAACUUUGCUCUUUUUCUACAAUAUGAUGCCUCAUUUAGUCACUCAUCUAAUUUAUCUCAUCACUAUGAUCUAAUUAUGUUGUCUCGUGUAUGCAAGCCCGACUAACUCCUACAAUAGUCUCUGAGCGUGUAGCCGAAUGGUAUGAAAAAGGUUCAAAAUUCGAUCUCUACGGUUAAUAAAUUUUUUCCUCCUCCUAACAAAAUUUACUGCUAACAUUUGCCUAUAAAAGAAAAAUAAAAACCAACUCUUACAAUAUGACCAUGGUGAAAAUUACUACUUGCCCUGAAUAUGUAGCAUGUAUGCAUCAAUUCAACUAAUGUACAUCAUCAUCACUUGUGUGUAUUAGACUCCAAUAUCAUAUACAUAUCACCAUGUGCAUUCAAUCCAUUAAGACAUUUACAACGGAAUUUCACUUUAUCUAGACUAGUGUUCAACCGUUAUCAAUGUUUGUGGUAUGUCUUGUUCUUUUUUGGACUCAUGAUGCUCAACAAAAUCAUCAUUAUGGUGGUGUUCUUCCUCGCUGCCGCCACCAAAUUCAUCUCCCACCUCCACAACUGUGCCGAAUUGAACACGACGCUCUCCACCGCCGCCACCAACAGGGGAAUGAGAAGGGGAUUUUGUACCACGAGGGCUUCUAACAGCAGUAGCAGCUGUUUGUGGAGAUUUUGGUGUCCAAAUUGCACCAGUAUUACCAUAAUUGUUUGUAUGAUGUUCAUCAAAUUGAACAUUAAUAGGUCUAAUGCAUCUAUAUAUCAAGAUGAGAAACCAAGAUAGCCAUGGAAUUGCAACCAAUGCCAUGCCUGCAAAGAGAUACCAUGGUAAAGAUUCAGAAUCUGGUAGGAAUAUGUACAUGCAAAGGAAAAUUCCUCCUCCAAUUGUGCAUGCAAAGAAAAAACAAGAGAUGACGUAUAUUCUAACAUCUCCCUUUCUAUCCCCCAUUGAAGAGGAAGAUCAAUAACAAGGACAACAAUUUUUUUCUAUAUUAAUUGUUUUGUUGGAGGAUUUUGCAGAAGAUGAAUGCAUGGUUGUUUGUUAAGAACCAAAGAUUAGAAAGUUUCAAAGAAGGGAGGGGAAACAUUGAAGCGUUGAAAUCGGGAGAUAGUUUGUUGCUCAAGCAAAUAUGACGUUUGAGAUUGUCUAUAUUUUAUAUAUAUACAAUUAAAUAAAAUGAAUAGGCUCAAAAUAUUUAUGUGCACAGUAUAUAUUUUCACGAUACUUUGUUAAAAUAAACACGGUGCAUUUUUAACUCGAUACGAAGCCUUUUGAAAUUAUUAGUUGUAUUCACUAUAUUUUCUCCUUUUUUUCGUAACGGUGUAAACACCUUUUACUUUUUUUUCACUUUCAUUAAGAAAAAAAUGGUAGUGUAGAAGUCUUAGUUCAAGGUCGGACGUCGUGAUCCGGGUUUGAACCCGGGACCUCACAGUUAUGGGAGUUUAAUUUCAAGUGGAUUACCACUUCGUCUAAGACAAAAAAGAAAUGGUAGUGUAGUUAAUGCGUGCAUUUUAUGUAUACAUAUAUACCUAAAAUGUAUAUGAUAAACUUUACUUUUUCUUAUUUCAAGACAGUUAGUGAUAUCUGUUACUAGUUUAUUGGAAAAAGAAAGAAUAAAUGUACCUAGUGAUUUAUAUGACCUCGCACGUUGCGUUGCGUGGGGUUUAUUUUAUCAAAAUGAUUAUUUGUAGGUUAUAAGUGCUCAUAAUCAAAUAUACCAGCAAAUUCACUACGAAACAAACUCUUUGUUGGCAUUCGCAAACAAGGAAACAAAUUUUGUCAACAUUAACAAAGAAGCAUAACUACAACAAAACUAUUGAAUUAAACUAGCUGGAACUAUCUAUAAGGUUAGGCUCCAAAGACGUUGUUCUUUAUGAAGAACCAUAUGGAAACAAGAUAAAUCUAUGCUUAGGCUCCAAUAUUGGUCUUAAGCAAGAAAUUCAUUGCAUAGAGAUCAUUAAUUUUGUAAUAUGGAAACCUAAACCACUUGUUAAUUUCAUAACACAUUGGUUACAGUUUUGUGUUUCAAUAUUAAAUAGUUUUCUUCUGUCCAAGAUUACCUUUUGCUCUGGCUUCAUAUACAUAUUUAACUGUAAAUAGUGAAUUGAAACCUGAUUGAGUCUUUUAGUUAUAUACUCAUGCUUGAGCAAUAUGUUAGUAUCAAAUCUGAUCAUGAAUUCAAACUGAUUGAGAAUCAAAUCUCACUAGUUACUACUUUUACAAAUUGAUUAGGCACAUGAUUCAAAAUAGGAAAUUAUUGUAGUAUAAAGUAGAUAUGACAACACCUCUUUCAUGCUAGACAUGAAAAACAAACACCAAAGGAUAAAAUCACAAAUAUGAAAAAAGCCAAAUAGUUUUUUUUUUUUUUUUUGUUCAAGUAGCCUAGUGGCUAGAGCUCACACAUUUUAAUGCGGAGAAGUGGGGUGUCCAGGGUUCGAACCCCGGCCCCUGCAUAUAUUAUGCAUUGUCCCUACUAACUAAGCUAAGCUCAUAGGGACAAAGCCAAAUAGUUCUAUUAGCCUACAAAAAUAAAGACCACUAUGGAAAUCUUUACUUAAGAUAAAAUCAACCAGACUCUUAUGUUCCAAGUAUAAAAAUAGCAUUAACAAUACGAAAAAACACACCAACAAAC